Molecule: ribosomal RNA, 175 nt
Filed under: Tremella hypogymniae
Lineage: Eukaryota; Fungi; Basidiomycota; Tremellomycetes; Tremellales; Tremellaceae
Description: 5.8S ribosomal RNA
Rfam family: 5.8S ribosomal RNA (bases 1-154)
About the family: 5.8S ribosomal RNA (5.8S rRNA) is a component of the large subunit of the eukaryotic ribosome. It is transcribed by RNA polymerase I as part of the 45S precursor that also contains 18S and 28S rRNA. Functionally, it is thought that 5.8S rRNA may be involved in ribosome translocation.
Source: RNAcentral
AACUUUCAACAACGGAUCUCUUGGCUCUCGCAUCGAUGAAGAACGCAGCGAAAUGCGAUAAGUAAUGUGAAUUGCAGAAUUCAGUGAAUCAUCGAAUCUUUGAACGCCCCUUGCGCCUUUUGGUAUUCCGAAAGGCAUCCCUGUUUGAGUGUCAUGAAACCUCAAUCUAUCUGGG